GAAGGUGCCUCGGGCGAGACGCCAGCCUAAGUUCCUUGGGACGGGACGUCGCAGAGGGUGAGAAUCCCGUACGUGGCCGGCCGUCAGCCCCGUGUGAGGCCCUUUCGGCGAGUCGAGUUGUUUGGGAAUGCAGCUCCAAAUGGGUGGUAAAUUUCAUCUAAAGCUAAAUACCGGCCAGAGACCGAUAGCGCACAAGUAGAGUGAUCGAAAGAUGAAAAGCACUUUGAAAAGAGAGUAAAACAGUACGUGAAAUUGUUGAAAGGGAAGGGCUCGCGGCCAGACUCGCGCGCGGGGGACCAACCGCCCCCAGGGGUGGCGCGCUCCCCCGCGGUCGGGCCAGCAUCGGUUUCGGCGGCCCGACAAAGGCCCCGGGAAUGUAGUUCCCUCCGGGGAACGUUAUAGCCCGGGGCGGCAUGGGGCCCGCCGGGACCGAGGACGGCGCCUGGUGCUAGGAUGCUGGCGUAAUGGCCGCAAGCCGCCCGUCUUGAAACACGGACCAAGGAGUCAAUCUGCCCGGCGAGUGUUGGGGCGUAAAACCCCGGCGCGCAGUGAAAGCGAACGGAGGUGGGAGCCCUCGGGCGCACCAUCGACCGAUCCUGAUGUCUUCGGAUGGAUUCGAGUAGGAGCCGGGCGGAUUGGACCCGAAAGAUGGUGAGCUAUGCGCGGGCAGGCCGAAGCCAGAGGAAACUCUGGUGGAGGGCCGCAGCGGUUCUGACGUGCAAAUCGAUCGUCAAACCUGCGUAUAGGGGCGAAAGACUAAUCGAACCAUCUAGUAGCUGGUUCUCGCCGAAGUUUCCCUCAGGAUAGCAGCAACGAAAACAGUCUCAUGAGGUAGAGCGAACGAUUAGAGGCCUUGGGGCCGAAA
Molecule: ribosomal RNA, 865 nt
Filed under: Fissurina sp. Lumbsch 20522c
Lineage: Eukaryota; Fungi; Ascomycota; Lecanoromycetes; Ostropales; Graphidaceae
Description: eukaryotic LSU rRNA
Rfam family: Eukaryotic large subunit ribosomal RNA
Source: RNAcentral